This 429-nucleotide ribosomal RNA is filed under the name Actinomycetes bacterium. Its description in RNAcentral is "Actinobacteria bacterium partial 16S ribosomal RNA". It matches the Rfam family "Bacterial small subunit ribosomal RNA", at positions 355 to 776 of the family's 1533-position model. Lineage: Bacteria; Bacillati; Actinomycetota; Actinomycetes. The record is from RNAcentral.
UAGGGAAUCUUCCGCAAUGGGCGAAAGCCUGACGGAGCAACGCCGCGUGAGUGAUGAAGGUCUUCGGAUCGUAAAACUCUGUUAUUAGGGAAGAACAAAUGUGUAAGUAACUAUGCACGUCUUGACGGUACCUAAUCAGAAAGCCACGGCUAACUACGUGCCAGCAGCCGCGGUAAUACGUAGGUGGCAAGCGUUCUCCGGAAUUAUUGGGCGUAAAGCGCGCGUAGGCGGUUUUUUAAGUCUGAUGUGAAAGCCCACGGCUCAACCGUGGAGGGUCAUUGGAAACUGGAAAACUUGAGUGCAGAAAAGGAAAGUGGAAUUCCAUGUGUAGCGGUGAAAUGCGCAGAGAUAUGGAGGAACACCAGUGGCGAAGGCGACUUUCUGGUCUGUAACUGACGCUGAUGUGCGAAAGCGUGGGGAUCAAACAGG